Molecule: ribosomal RNA, 808 nt
Filed under: uncultured bacterium
Lineage: Bacteria
Description: bacterial SSU rRNA
Rfam family: Bacterial small subunit ribosomal RNA
Source: RNAcentral
AAUUCCCGGUGUAGUGGUGAAAUGCGUAGAUAUCGGGAGGAACACCAGUGGCGAAGGCGGCUCUCUGGGCCAUUCCUGACGCUCAGACGCGAAAGCUAGGGGAGAGAACGGGAUUAGAAACCCCGGUAUUCCUAGCCGUAAACGAUGUCAACUAGGCGUAGGAGGUAACCAUUCCUUCUGUGCUGCAGCUAACGCGAUAAGUUGACCGCCUGGGGACUACGGCCGCAAGGCUAAAACUCAAAGGAAUUGACGGGGCCCCGCACAAGCAGCGGAGCGUGUGGUUUAAUUCGAGGCUACGCGAAGAACCUUACCAGGGCUUGACAUGCAGGUGGUAGUGAAUCGAAAGAGGAACGACCCUUCGGGGAGCCUGCACAGGUGCUGCAUGGCUGUCGUCAGCUCGUGCCGUGAGGUGUUCGGUUAAGUCCGAUAACGAGCGCAACCCUCGUCGUUAGUUACAUGUGUCUAGCGAGACUGCCGGUGAUAAGCCGGAGGAAGGUGGGGAUGACGUCAAGCCAGCAUGGCCUUUAUGUCCUGGGCUACACACACGCUACAAUGGCCGGUACAAUGGGUUGCCAAGUCGUGAGACGGAGCCAAUCCCCCAAAGCCGGUCUCAGUUCGGAUUGCAGGCUGCAACUCGCCUGCAUGAAGUCGGAGUUGCUAGUAACCGCGCGUCAGCCACAGUGCGGUGAAUACGUUCCCGGGGCUUGUACACACCGCCCGUCACGUCAUGGAAGUUGGCAACGCCUGAAGUCGGUGAGCUAACCCUCACGGGAGGCAGCCGCCUAAGGCGGGGUCGGUAACUGGGACG